This 850-nucleotide ribosomal RNA is filed under the name uncultured bacterium. RNAcentral describes it as "bacterial SSU rRNA". It matches the Rfam family "Bacterial small subunit ribosomal RNA", at positions 45 to 929 of the family's 1533-position model. The record is from RNAcentral.
CGCUACCAUGCAGUCGCACGAGAAAGCAGGAAGCAAUCCUGUGAGUACAGUGGCGUACGGGUGAGUAACACGUGGGUGAUCUACCCUUUAGUGGGGAAUAACGCUGGGAAACCGGCGCUAAUACCGCAUAAUCUCGAGAGAGGAAAGCAGCAAUGCGCUGAAGGAGGAGCCCGCGGCCGAUUAGCUAGUUGGUAGGGUAAAAGCCUACCAAGGCAGAGAUCGGUAGCCGGCCUGAGAGGGCACACGGCCACACUGGCACUGAAACACGGGCCAGACUCCUACGGGAGGCAGCAGUGGGGAAUCUUGCACAAUGGGGGAAACCCUGAUGCAGCGACGCCGCGUGGGCGAUGAAGCCCUUCGGGGUGUAAAGCUCUUUCGUCAGGGACGAUAAUGACGGUACCUGGAGAAGCAGCUGCGGCUAACUACGUGCCAGCAGCCGCGGUAAUACGUAGGCAGCGAGCGUUGUUCGGAGUUACUGGGCGUAAAGGGUGUGUAGGCGGUUUUCUAAGUUUGGUGUGAAAUCUCCCGGCUCAACCGGGAGGGUGCGCCGAAAACUGGGAGACUAGAGUGCGGGAUGGGAGAGUAGAAUUCCUGGUGUAGCGGUGAAAUGCGUAGAUAUCAGGAGGAAUACCGGUGGUGUAGACGGCUCUCUGGACCGCCACUGACGCUGAGACACGAAAGCGUGGGUAGCAAACAGGAUUAGAUACCCUGGUAGUCCACGCCCUAAACGAUGCAUAUUUGGUGUAGGUCAUUCAGUUGAUCUGUGCCGGAGCUAACGCGUUAAAUAUGCCGCCUGGGGAGUACAGUCGCAAGGCUGAAACUCAAAGGAAUUGACGGGGGCCCGCACAAG